ACGGGGGAUUAGGGUUCAAUUCCGGAGAGGGAGCCUGAGAAACGGCUACCACAUCUAAGGAAGGCAGCAGGCGCGCAAAUUACCCAAUUCUAACAGCAUAAGAGAGGUAGUGACAAGAAAUAACAGUACAAGGCAGUUAAAAUGCUUUGUAAUUGGAAUGAUAGAAAUUUAAAUACUUUUUAAAGUAUCAAUUGGAGGGCAAGUCUGGUGCCAGCAGCCGCGGUAAUUCCAGCUCCAAUAGCGUAUAUUAAAAUUGUUGCAGUUAAAAAGCUCGUAGUUGAAUUUUUGCUAAAAAUAACCGGUCUGCUUUUAUUAAUAAAAGUGGUAUCUUGGUGUGUUUUUAGCAAUAAUGUCCUUUGAAAUGUUUUUUACUUUAUUGUAAGAAGCAAUUUUCAGGAUUUUUACUUUGAGAAAAUUAGAGUGUUUCAAGCAGGCUAACGUUUUGAAUACUGCAGCAUGGAAUAAUAAAAUAGGAUUUUAGUUCUACGUUAUUGGUUUUAAGAAUUAAAUUAAUGAUUGAUAGGAGCAGUUGGGGGCAUUUGUAUUUAACUGUC
This 554-nucleotide ribosomal RNA is filed under the name Hepatozoon sp. RNAcentral's name for it is "bacterial SSU rRNA". It matches the Rfam family "Eukaryotic small subunit ribosomal RNA", at positions 362 to 906 of the family's 1831-position model. Lineage: Eukaryota; Apicomplexa; Hepatozoidae. The record is from RNAcentral.